RNAcentral lists this ribosomal RNA (623 nucleotides) under uncultured bacterium. Its description in RNAcentral is "bacterial SSU rRNA". It matches the Rfam family "Bacterial small subunit ribosomal RNA", at positions 769 to 1389 of the family's 1533-position model. The record is from RNAcentral.
CAAACAGGAUUAGAUACCCUGGUAGUCCACGCCCUAAACGAUGUAUACCGGUUGUUGCUGUGCUAGUCACGGCAGUAAUCCACCUAACGGAUUAAGUAUACCGCCUGGGGAGUACGGUCGCAAGAUUAAAACUCAAAGGAAUAGACGGGGACCCGCACAAGCGGUGGAGCAUGUGGCUUAAUUCGAAGAUACGCGAAGAACCUUACCCGGACUUGAUAUCUAACAAAUCAUCCAGAGAUGGAAGAGUGUCUGCUUGCAGAAAUGUUAAGACAGGUGCUGCACGGCUGUCGUCAGCUCGUGUCGUGAGAUGUUGGGUUAAGUCCCGCAACGAGCGCGACCCACGUCAUUAGUUGCUAACGGUUCGGCCGAGCACUCUAAUGAGACUGCCUUCGUAAGGAGGAGGAAGGUGUGGACGACGUCAAGUCAUCAUGGCCCUUAUGUCCGGGGCGACACACGUGCUACAAUGGCAUAUACAAUAAGACGCAAUAUCGCGAGAUGGAGCAAAUCUAAAAGAUAUGUCCCAGUUCGGAUUGGAGUCUGCAACUCGACUCCAUGAAGCCGGAAUCGCUAGUAAUCGUAGAUCAGCCAUGCUACGGUGAAUACGUUCCCGGGUCUUGUACUCA